UUGGUGAACCAGCGGAGGGAUCAUUACCGAGUUUACAACUCCCAAACCCCAUGUGAACAUACCUGUUUCGUUCCCUCGGCGGUGUCCGGCAACGGCCCGCCAGAGGACCCAACAAACUCUUUUGAAUUUUUCAGUAUCUUCUGAGUAAAAAAAACAAUAAAUCAAAACUUUCAACAACGGAUCUCUUGGUUCUGGCAUCGAUGAAGAACGCAGCGAAAUGCGAUAAGUAAUGUGAAUUGCAGAAUUCAGUGAAUCAUCGAAUCUUUGAACGCACAUUGCGCCCGCCAGUAUUCUGGCGGGCAUGCCUGUUCGAGCGUCAUUUCAACCCUCAAGCACCUUCGGGAGCUUGGUGUUGGGGAUCGGCAGGGCGUCCUCCGGGUCGCGCCGUCCCCCAAAUCUAGUGGCGGUCUCGCUGUAGCUUCCUCUGCGUAGUAAUACACCUCGCUCUGGAGUCUCGGUGCGGCCACGCCGUAAAACCCCCAACUUUUUUCUGGUUGACCUCGAAUCAGGUAGGACUACCCGCUGAACUUAA
Molecule: ribosomal RNA, 532 nt
Filed under: Calonectria canadiana
Lineage: Eukaryota; Fungi; Ascomycota; Sordariomycetes; Hypocreales; Nectriaceae
Description: eukaryotic LSU rRNA
Rfam family: 5.8S ribosomal RNA (bases 166-319)
Source: RNAcentral